CCUACGGGAGGCAGCAGUGAGGAAUAUUGGUCAAUGGGCUUACGCCUGAACCAGCCAAGUCGCGUGAGGGAUGAAGGUUCUAUGGAUCGUAAACCUCUUUUAUAAGGGAAUAAAGUGUGGGACGUGUCCUGUUUUGUAUGUACCUUAUGAAUAAGGAUCGGCUAACUCCGUGCCAGCAGCCGCGGUAAUACGGAGGAUCCGAGCGUUAUCCGGAUUUAUUGGGUUUAAAGGGUGCGUAGGCGGCCUUUUAAGUCAGUGGUGAAAGUCUGUGGCUCAACCAUAGAAGUGCCGUGGAAACUGGGAGGCUUGAGUAUGUUUGAGGCAGGCGGAAUGCGUGGUGUAGCGGUGAAAUGCUUAGAUAUCACGCAGAACCCCGAUUGCGAAGGCAGCCUGCCAAGCCAUGACUGACGCUGAUGCACGAAAGCGUGGGGAUCAAACAGGAUUAGAUACCCCUGUAGUC
Molecule: ribosomal RNA, 460 nt
Filed under: uncultured bacterium
Lineage: Bacteria
Description: partial 16S ribosomal RNA
Rfam family: Bacterial small subunit ribosomal RNA
Source: RNAcentral